RNAcentral lists this ribosomal RNA (387 nucleotides) under uncultured bacterium. Its description in RNAcentral is "bacterial SSU rRNA". It matches the Rfam family "Bacterial small subunit ribosomal RNA", at positions 28 to 417 of the family's 1533-position model. The record is from RNAcentral.
AUUGAACGCUGGCGGCAUGCCUUACACAUGCAAGUCGAACGGCAGCACGGGGGCAACCCUGGUGGCGAGUGGCGAACGGGUGAGUAAUACAUCGGAACGUGCCCGGUAGUGGGGGAUAGCUCGGCGAAGGCCGGAUUAAUACCGCAUACGACCUGCGGGUGAAAGCGGGGGAUCGCAAGACCUCGCGCUAUCGGAGCGGCCGAUGUCAGAUUAGGUUGUUGGUGGGGUAAAGGCCUACCAAGCCGACGAUCUGUAGCUGGUCUGAGAGGACGACCAGCCACACUGGGACUGAGACACGGCCCAGACUCCUACGGGAGGCAGCAGUGGGGAAUUUUGGACAAUGGGCGCAAGCCUGAUCCAGCCAUGCCGCGUGCGGGAAGAAGGCCU